GGCCGGUUAGCUCAGUGGUUUGAGCGCGGUGCUGACAAUGAACCAACACCGAGGUCACGGGUUCGAUUCCUGCUCUGUCCC
Apaloderma vittatum (bar-tailed trogon) is the source of this 81-nucleotide non-coding RNA. The record is from Rfam. Lineage: Eukaryota; Metazoa; Chordata; Aves; Trogoniformes; Trogonidae.